GACGAACGCUGGCGGCGUGCUUAACACAUGCAAGUCGAACGGAAAGGCCCUGCUUUUGUGGGGUGCUCGAGUGGCGAACGGGUGAGUAACACGUGAGUAACCUGCCCUUGACUUUGGGAUAACUUCAGGAAACUGGGGCUAAUACAGGAUAGGAGCUCCUGCUGCAUGGUGGGGGUUGGAAAGUUUCGGCGGUUGGGGAUGGACUCGCGGCUUAUCAGCUUGUUGGUGGGGUAGUGGCUUACCAAGGCGUUGACGGGUAGCCGGUUUGAGAGGGUGACCGGCCAGACUGCGAAUGAGAGACGGAGAAGACUCAGACGGGAGGGAGAAGUGGGGAAUUUUGGACAAAGGGGGGAACGCUGAUCGAGCCAUACCGCGUGUGAGAUGAGGGCCUUCGGGUUGUAAAGCAAUGUUGUCAGGAAAGAAAAGGAGAGGGCUAAUAACCCGUGGAACUGACGGUACCUGAAGAAUAAGCAACGGAUAACUACGUG
This 488-nucleotide ribosomal RNA is filed under the name uncultured bacterium. RNAcentral's name for it is "partial 16S ribosomal RNA". It matches the Rfam family "Bacterial small subunit ribosomal RNA", at positions 28 to 507 of the family's 1533-position model. The record is from RNAcentral.